GCUUUUUUGUGACGUCAUCCUUUUUAUUUCAGUUUGUUUGUUUUUGUAUUGCCCAGACUAAUUGCUUUAGAAUAACACUGUUAUUGCAAACAGUGAUGUGAUGAAGGGGAAACUGUGAAAGGCUUGGGAAAAUAUAAUAAUUUAAUACAUUAUAAAUAUAUAUAUGUUUUACAAACAGGGUCUCACUCUGUUGCCCAGGCAGCAGUGCAGUGGCACCUUCUUAGCUCAUUGCAGCCUCAAACUCCUGGGCUCAUGCUAUCCUCCCCAGUCACUCUCCCAAGUAGCUAGGACUACAGGCAUGCACCACCAUACUCAGCUGGUUUUUUAAAUUUUUUGUAGAGGCAGAGUCUUGCUAUGUUGCCCAGGCUGUUCUCAAACUCUUGGACUCCACCAGUUCUCCCACCUUGGCCUCCCAAAAUGCUGGGAUUACAGGCAUGGGCCACCACACCCACCCAUAAAUAUUUUUAGAAGGAAUUUUUCUGACUCCCGUGUCACAAGGGACAAUAAUUUCUAUAUUCCUUUAAGUUAAUCCAUACGACCUAAUGAGCCACAACUACCAAAACAGGUAGGGUGCAUUCUGAGAGCUGUGCAAUUUGGACUGAAUUAUGAUGGAAUUGACUCAGACGGAGGCAGAAAACUCUGGACAUAUUAAUAGCAUCCAAAAGUAGAUUUUAAAGAACUCAUUACAUGAGGAUGAGAUCCUGUGGAGGGGUUCAGGUUAAUAUAUGGGUCAAAUCAUUGAAAGAGUUACUGAGGAAGACAUUUUAAGAGACACGCAUGUUGGACGCAUCUUUGCACAGAGGGGACAUUUAGCCUGAGCAACAUAUGUUUAGAAUCCAGAUUGAAAAUCAUUCUUGAUUACGGAUGGAGGGACAAAUCUCUCUGGCCAGAAAGCUGGAGUCAGGAGACAGGUGAGAUGGAAAAAGUAGACUUUGUUUCUUCCCUUGGUAACACUCACAAAAGUGUCCACCCCCAGAAACGCUGGAAAGGAGAAAGUGAUUCUGUUAAUAACCAACCUUAAAUGAGCUAAUUAAGGAAAUAACAGCUUUGGGGACACCACACUCUUUAUAAUGGGAGGAAUUGGACUCUGGAGAGUUGCUGGAAAGCUCACCUUCUGGACCAUGCCCACUGACUUUACUGGAAAUGGAAAUCUGAAGGGGAUAAGGAUGACCAGGGAGAAAACGUCCUGGGAUCAGACCAAGCUUGGGGCUGGUGCACAAGGCUUUGCCUUGACUUUUAAAGUUCUGUCUAUAAAUGUUUCUCACCCCUUUCUUUCGCACAUAGUACGGAACCCUGAAAAACUAUUCUUCAGGUUAUAGGCUGCACCAAUUGCUCAGUUUAGAGAACUUUAAGGAAUCCCUUCUUAAGAAAAAAAGAAUCAGUAAUUGUGUCCAUUUUGAGGAAUUUUAAUACUUGUCAUGUACACAUAUGUGUACAUACAAACCACAUAAUAAACAACACUUUUUCCUUUAGCUAUUACAGUCCAGUUCUUGAAGUGUCAAGGUCAUAAAGUUUACCAAUUAGCUAUUAUGAACAAGUUCUUCAUCAGAAUAAAUGGAAAUUUUACUUUGCUUUAGAGAAAAUACAACGUGCGCAUAUGCACUAUAUUUUGAGAUCUGCAUAAAAGAACAUUUCUAUACUAUUUUAAUAGAAAUAUUGCUCAGUUUUAAAUGUAUCUCAAGUUUAAAUGAGUGGUAUUUUCCCUUUCUAAACUAGGAUUGGAUCUUCUGCUCUCAGCCAUCAGUUCUGGGUAAAUCCAAGCUGCUUGGCUGGCUAAAAAGAGGUGUGGUUGGUUUUACCUAAUGGCUACCCUCAUCUGUAAUCUUCUUUAUGCAACUAAAAAUCAGUAAGAACAACACACUUAUUUUUUCUCCAUAUGUCCUGGAAGCAGACCUUUAUACCAUGCCUCACAAGACGGACAGAGGGAGGCAUCUGGAGAUGUUCGGACAGAAUGGAAGUCAAUUAGAACAUUCUAAUGGUGGGCAUGCAGCCUGAAAUCAGAUAUGUUACCUAGGGAUGUUGGUGGAUUCUAUAUGGCCUGUGAGAAUGAACAAGCAGGUUAGUACUGGAUGCUGUUGCCAAAGAAUGGGCAAGGGCAGAAGUGAAAGAAGAAAUGGAGAAGGCAGUAGGGUCAAAUAGUGAGACUCAGAUGGGAGAAUCUAUAUCUUUGUAACAAUAUUUUUACCCAUUGGAAAGAAGACAUAGGGUAAAAUUUUAGAUAUUGAUAUUCAAAAUUGUUGCCAUGAAUGUUCAUAGCAGCAUUAUUCACAAUAGGUAAAAAGCAGAAACAGCCCACAUGUCCAUCAACUAAUGAAUGGAUAAACAAAUGUGGUUUCUCCAUACGAUGGAAUAUUAUUUGACAAUAAAAAGGAAUGAAGAGCUGAUAUACAGUGUGGAUGAUCUUCAAAAAUUUUAUGCUUAGUGAGAGAAGUCAGAGGUGCUGUAUCAUUCCAUUUAUAUGAAAUGUCCAGAAAAGUCAAACCCACGGAAACAGAGUAAAUUAGAGCUUGCCUAGGGCUGAGGGUGGGAAUGGGAGCAAUAGUAAACGAACAUGGUAUUUCUUUUGGGGCUGAUGGAAAUGAUGUAUGAUCAGAUGGUGGUGAUGGUUGCACAACAAUAAGGCUCAACAAUAAGAUUAACGUUCUGUGUGAGCCACUGCACCCAGCCAAUAUCACAUUUUCUCUAUCCACUCAUUGAUUGAUGGGCAUUUGGGCUGGUUCCUUAUUUUUGCAAUUGCAAAUUGUUUUGCUAUAAACAUGUGUGUGCAAGUAUAUUUUUUGUAUAAUGACUUAUUUUCCUCUGGGUAGAUACCUAGUAGUGAGGUUGCUGGAUCAAACAGUAGGACGCCUUUUAGUUUAAAUGCAGGGCACAAAUUUCUUGUGAGAAAGAUGCUUUCCCUAUACCAGGAAGAGGAGAACAUUCUUAUCACUGGAUAUGGGGAGUCAACACCCAGAUGAAUCCAUACAAAAAAGCCUACUGAAAUAACCUUAUUUUCUAUUAGUUUCCCAUUUAUUUCCUAGCCACCUUCCCAUAAUCUGCUGCUUCAGCCCAACCCCCUUUUUUCCUUGUCAUAUUAUUUUGUCUUGUCACAUCUUCUGAAAUUUAUAAUUCUUUGUUAAUGUGGUAUAUAAGCUCUCAGGCCUAUCUGCUUCUUUGGAUCUUCAUUUCUUACAUAUGAAAGCCUCCAUGUAUGUGUAAAAUAUUAAUAUCAAAUAAAAUUUAUAUGCUGUUUCUCCUGUCAAUCUGUCUUUUGCCACUUUAAUUCUCAGGCUAAGCCACAGAACCUAAGAGGAAGGAGGAAAAGUAUUUCCCCUCCUUCAUUAUGUCUCCUAAAUUUUCAAACCAACAAUGUCAGUACUUCCUUAAGUUUUCCAGGGAUUCUUGUGAGCCACAUUACUAAGGCAGGUAGCAAUUAAAAAAUCAUUUCUAUAGUUCUUUUACUCGUUGUUCCUAUUUUCACCUAGACAGAUCAAGUCAAAGCCUUCUCAACAUGACAGCCCUU
RNAcentral lists this long non-coding RNA (3502 nucleotides) under Homo sapiens (human). Its description in RNAcentral is "HSALNT0089356". Lineage: Eukaryota; Metazoa; Chordata; Mammalia; Primates; Hominidae. The record is from RNAcentral.